GAUGAACGCUGGCGGCGUGCCUAAUACAUGCAAGUCGAGCGAACAGACGAGGAGCUUGCUCCUCUGACGUUAGCGGCGGACGGGUGAGUAACACGUGGAUAACCUACCUAUAAGACUGGGAUAACUUCGGGAAACCGGAGCUAAUACCGGAUAAUAUAUUGAGCCGCAUGGUUCAAUAGUGAAAGACGGUUUUGCUGUCACUUAUAGAUGGAUCCGCGCCGCAUUAGCUAGUUGGUAAGGUAACGGCUUACCAAGGCAACGAUGCGUAGCCGACCUGAGAGGGUGAUCGGCCACACUGGAACUGAGACACGGUCCAGACUCCUACGGGAGGCAGCAGUAGGGAAUCUUCCGCAAUGGGCGAAAGCCUGACGGAGCAACGCCGCGUGAGUGAUGAAGGUCUUCGGAUCGUAAAACUCUGUUAUUAGGGAGGAACAAAUGUGUAAGUAACUAUGCACGUCUUGACGGUACCUAAUCAGAAAGCCACGGCUAACUACGUG
RNAcentral lists this ribosomal RNA (497 nucleotides) under uncultured bacterium. Its description in RNAcentral is "partial 16S ribosomal RNA". It matches the Rfam family "Bacterial small subunit ribosomal RNA", at positions 28 to 507 of the family's 1533-position model. The record is from RNAcentral.